UGCAGUCGAACGAUGAACCACUUCGGUGGGGAUUAGUGGCGAACGGGUGAGUAACACGUGGGCAAUCUGCCCUUCACUCUGGGACAAGCCCUGGAAACGGGGUCUAAUACCGGAUAACACUCUCGCAGGCAUCUGCGAGGGUUAAAAGCUCCGGCGGUGAAGGAUGAGCCCGCGGCCUAUCAGCUUGUUGGUGAGGUAAUGGCUCACCAAGGCGACGACGGGUAGCCGGCCUGAGAGGGCGACCGGCCACACUGGGACUGAGACACGGCCCAGACUCCUACGGGAGGCAGCAGUGGGGAAUAUUGCACAAUGGGCGAAAGCCUGAUGCAGCGACGCCGCGUGAGGGAUGACGGCCUUCGGGUUGUAAACCUCUUUCAGCAGGGAAGAAGCGAAAGUGACGGUACCUGCAGAAGAAGCGCCGGCUAACUACGUGCCAGCAGCCGCGGUAAUACGUAGGGCGCAAGCGUUGUCCGGAAUUAUUGGGCGUAAAGAGCUCGUAGGCGGCUUGUCACGUCGAUUGUGAAAGCCCGAGGCUUAACCUCGGGUCUGCAGUCGAUACGGGCUAGCUAGAGUGUGGUAGGGGAGAUCGGAAUUCCUGGUGUAGCGGUGAAAUGCGCAGAUAUCAGGAGGAACA
This 634-nucleotide ribosomal RNA is filed under the name Streptomyces sp. ANA1908. Its description in RNAcentral is "bacterial SSU rRNA". It matches the Rfam family "Bacterial small subunit ribosomal RNA", at positions 56 to 708 of the family's 1533-position model. The record is from RNAcentral. Lineage: Bacteria; Bacillati; Actinomycetota; Actinomycetes; Kitasatosporales; Streptomycetaceae.